GCUAUUCAAGUAUGCUACCUCUCCGUGGUGAGUAGCAGGCAACGGGGUUCUCUCUCUCGGCUAAAGCAUAU
This 71-nucleotide ribozyme is filed under the name unclassified sequences. Its description in RNAcentral is "HDV ribozyme from F. prausnitzii". It matches the Rfam family "HDV ribozyme from F. prausnitzii". The record is from RNAcentral.